AAGUAGUCCCCUCUUUCUAAAAAACUAAUAUACUUUGGCGGCAUUUCAUCUUAUUAGAGGAGCCUGUUUUAUAAUCGACACCCCACGCUAAAUUCAACUUAAACUAAAAUCCUAUAUACCGCCGUACAGAACAAAAAAAAAUUUCUUCUUCAAAAUAAAUAUAAAAAGAUAGGUAAAGGUGUAGAAAAUGUUUAAGAAAAAAUGUGCUACAUUAAAUAUAAUUUAAGGAAAAAAAUGAACACUACAAUGAAAAAGGAUUUAUUAGUAAUAUAUAACCUAUAAACUAAAUAAUAAUUAUAUAUGAAAAAGACAAAAAUGUGU
This 321-nucleotide ribosomal RNA is filed under the name Chileotaxus sans. RNAcentral's name for it is "partial 12S ribosomal RNA". The record is from RNAcentral. Lineage: Eukaryota; Metazoa; Arthropoda; Arachnida; Araneae; Synotaxidae.